CCGACUGCUAUUUGGGUGAGAAUAAGCCAUGCGAGUUGAAUGGGAUACCUAAAGUUCCCAUAGCAAACUGCUCAGUAACACAUGAUCAACUUACCCUAUAGAGAAAAAUACCCUCGGGAAACUGAGGAUAAUAUUUCAUAAUUGAAUUGGCUUGGAAAAGUUUUUCAAUGAAAAGGAUAAAAAAAAUGGUUUUUAUCUGCUAUAGGAUAGGAUCGUGUUCGAUUAUGGUUGUUGGUGAGAUAAUGGCUCACCAAGCCGAUAAUCGAUAGGGGCCGUGAGAGCGGGAGCCCCGAGAUGGGUACUGAGACAACGACCCAGGCCUUACGAGGCGCAGCAGGCGCGGAACCUCCGCAAUACACGAAAGUGUGACGGGGUUACCCAAAGUGUUCAAUAGAACUGUGGUAGGUGAGUAAUGUCCCCUACUAGAAAGGAGAGGGCAAGGCUGGUGCCAGCCGCCGCGGUAAAACCAGCUCUUCAAGUGGUCGGGAUAAUUAUUGGGCUUAAAGUGUCCGUAGCCGGUUUAGUAAGUUCCUGGUAAAAUCGGGUAGCUUAACUAUCUGCAUGCUAGGAAUACUGCUAUACUAGAGGGCGGGAGAGGUCUGAGGUACUACAGGGGUAGGGGUGAAAUCUUAUAAUCCUUGUAGGACCACCAGUGGCGAAGGCGUCAGACUGGAACGCGCCUGACGGUGAGGGACGAAAGCCAGGGGAGCGAACCGGAUUAGAUACCCGGGUAGUCCUGGCCGUAAACGAUGCAUACUAGGUGAUGGUACGGCCAUGAGCCGUAUCAGUGCCGUAGGGAAACCGUUAAGAGUGCCGCCUGGGAAGUACGGUCGCAAGGCUAAAACUUAAAGGAAUUGGCGGGGGAGCACCACAAGGGGUGAAGCCUGCGGUUCAAUUGGAUUCAACGCCGGA
Molecule: ribosomal RNA, 912 nt
Filed under: uncultured archaeon
Lineage: Archaea
Description: bacterial SSU rRNA
Rfam family: Archaeal small subunit ribosomal RNA
Source: RNAcentral